This 561-nucleotide ribosomal RNA is filed under the name Triticum aestivum (bread wheat). RNAcentral's name for it is "partial small subunit ribosomal RNA". Lineage: Eukaryota; Viridiplantae; Streptophyta; Magnoliopsida; Poales; Poaceae. The record is from RNAcentral.
AUGGAUGAUCCUCAAAUUGAAAACCAGAUCUCAGAUCUGUCUGCAGGAAGAACAAAACGGAGAAGAAAGAAACCUGGUGAUAAAAGUGCUUGUGGUCAGGCAAAGGUACCUAAAAUUGCACAUCAUUCUCAGCAGCAAGAAUACAUGGAGAUUGCAGAUAGAAGUCAUGACAACAAGGAAUCUAAAAUUGCACAUCAUUCUGAACAGCAAGAAUAUUUAGAGAUUGCAGACAGAAGUCAUGGCGACAAGGUGCUCAAAAAUUUGAAUCAGGGCAACACACAGAUGCAGCCAAAUAUACGAUCGUUCAAUGAGAUUUCUGAGGAAUCAGAUUUGUUCAUUCUAGGAAAGCAAAAUUUGAAUACAAGCAAUAUCAUGCUAGUACCACCAGGAGCAGGACAAUCUUACACAGAGCUAAUGCAACAAAUGACAGUAAUGAGUCAUCUACAAAGCGACAACAUGGCAAUACCUAUAACAAGUUUCACAUCAUUCUUGACUGCUGGCAUAAGCUCUGAGGAAUGUUGUAUUACUGCAAUAAAAAAUUUUAAAAUUGUUAGAAAUUAA